CACGCCGCGUGAACGAUGAAGGCCUUCGGGUCGUAAAGUUCUGUUGUCAGGGAAGAACAAGUACCGGAGUAACUGCCGGUACCUUGACGGUACCUGACCAGAAAGCCACGGCUAACUACGUGCCAGCAGCCGCGGUAAUACGUAGGUGGCAAGCGUUGUCCGGAAUUAUUGGGCGUAAAGCGCGCGCAGGCGGUUCCUUAAGUCUGAUGUGAAAGCCCCCGGCUCAACCGGGGAGGGUCAUUGGAAACUGGGGAACUUGAGUGCAGAAGAGGAGAGCGGAAUUCCACGUGUAGCGGUGAAAUGCGUAGAGAUGUGGAGGAACACCAGUGGCGAAGGCGGCUCUCUGGUCUGUAACUGACGCUGAGGCGCGAAAGCGUGGGGAGCGAACAGGAUUAGAUACCCUGGUAGUCCACGCCGUAAACGAUGAGUGCUAAGUGUUAGAGGGUUUCCGCCCUUUAGUGCUGCAGCAAACGCAUUAAGCACUCCGCCUGGGGAGUACGGCCGCAAGGCUGAAACUUA
RNAcentral lists this ribosomal RNA (519 nucleotides) under Mesobacillus selenatarsenatis. Its description in RNAcentral is "bacterial SSU rRNA". It matches the Rfam family "Bacterial small subunit ribosomal RNA", at positions 393 to 903 of the family's 1533-position model. Lineage: Bacteria; Bacillati; Bacillota; Bacilli; Caryophanales; Bacillaceae. The record is from RNAcentral.